CCUACGGGAGGCAGCAGUGAGGAAUAUUGGUCAAUGGACGAGAGUCUGAACCAGCCAAGUAGCGUGAAGGAUGACUGCCCUAUGGGUUGUAAACUUCUUUUAUAUGGGAAUAAAAUGUUCCACGUGUGGGAUUUUGUAUGUACCAUAUGAAUAAGGAUCGGCUAACUCCGUGCCAGCAGCCGCGGUAAUACGGAGGAUCCGAGCGUUAUCCGGAUUUAUUGGGUUUAAAGGGAGCGUAGGUGGAUUGUUAAGUCAGUUGUGAAAGUUUGCGGCUCAACCGUAAAACUGCAGUUGAAACUGGCAGUCUUGAGUACAGUAGAGGUGGGCGGAAUUCGUGGUGUAGCGGUGAAAUGCUUAGAUAUCACGAAGAACUCCGAUUGCGAAGGCAGUUCACUGGACUGCAACUGACACUGAGGCUCGAAAGUGUGGGUAUCAAACAGGAUUAGAUACCCGAGUAGUC
RNAcentral lists this ribosomal RNA (460 nucleotides) under uncultured bacterium. RNAcentral's name for it is "partial 16S ribosomal RNA". It matches the Rfam family "Bacterial small subunit ribosomal RNA", at positions 338 to 795 of the family's 1533-position model. The record is from RNAcentral.